Molecule: ribosomal RNA, 466 nt
Filed under: uncultured bacterium
Lineage: Bacteria
Description: bacterial SSU rRNA
Rfam family: Bacterial small subunit ribosomal RNA
Source: RNAcentral
UUACGGAAGGCAGCAGUGGGGAAUAUUGGGCAAUGGGCGCAAGCCUGACCCAGCGACGCCGCGUGGGGGAUGAAGGCCUUCGGGUUGUAAACCCCUGUCGGGAGGGACGAACGCUCCGCGGUGAAUAGCCGCGGAGCUUGACGGUACCUCCAAAGGAAGCCCCGGCUAACUCCGUGCCAGCAGCCGCGGUAAUACGGAGGGGGCAAGCGUUAUUCGGAAUUACUGGGCGUAAAGCGCGCGCAGGUGGCAUGGCAAGUGGCAGGCGAAAUCCCUCGGCUCAACCGAGGAACUACCUGUCAGACUGCUUUGCUUGAGGCUGGGAGGGGAGAGCGGAAUUCCUGGUGUAGCGGUGAAAUGCGUAGAUACCAGGAGGAACACCGGUGGCGAAGGCGGCUCUCUGGACCAGCUCUGACGCUCAUGCGCGAAAGCGUGGGGAGCAAACAGGAUUAGAUACCCGUGUAGUCCA